GACGAACCACACAAACGUUAUUCGGAAUUACUGGGCUUAAAGGGUGCGUAGGCGGCGCAGAAAGUAGGGUGUGAAAUCCCUCGGCUCAACCGAGGAACUGCGCCCUAAACUACUGUGCUCGAGGGAGGUAGAGGUGAGCGGAACUUAGGGUGGAGCGGUGAAAUGCGUUGAUAUCCUAAGGAACACCGGUGGCGAAAGCGGCUCACUGGACCUCUUCUGACGCUGAGGCACGAAAGCUAGGGUAGCGAACGGG
This 253-nucleotide ribosomal RNA is filed under the name uncultured bacterium. RNAcentral's name for it is "partial 16S ribosomal RNA". It matches the Rfam family "Bacterial small subunit ribosomal RNA", at positions 524 to 776 of the family's 1533-position model. The record is from RNAcentral.